AGUGAACGCUGGCGGUAUGCCUAACACAUGCAAGUCGAACGGCAGCACAGUAAGAUUUUGCUCUUACGGGUGGCGAGUGGCGGACGGGUGACGAAUACAUCGGAAUCUACUCUUUCGUGGGGGAUAACGUAGGGAAACUUACGCUAAUACCGCAUACGACCUACGGGUGAAAGCAGGGGAUCUUCGGACCUUGCGCGAUUGAACUAGCCGAUGUCGGAUUAGCUAGUUGGGGGGGUAAAGGCCCACCAUGGCGACGAUCCGUAGCUGGUCUGAGAGGAUGAUCGGCCACACUGGAACUGAGACACGGUCCAGACUCCUACGGGAGGCAGCAGUGGGGAAUAUUGGGCAAUGGGCGCAAGCCUGAUCCAGCCAUACCGCGUGGGUGACGAAGGCCUUCGGGUUGUAAAGCCCUUUUGUUGGGAAAGAAAAGCAGCAGGUUAAUACCCCGCUGUUCUGACGGUACCCAAAGAAUAAGCACCGGCUAACUUCGUG
Molecule: ribosomal RNA, 492 nt
Filed under: uncultured bacterium
Lineage: Bacteria
Description: partial 16S ribosomal RNA
Rfam family: Bacterial small subunit ribosomal RNA
Source: RNAcentral